GGGCAAGUGCUGGAACAGGUAUACAGGUACGUCUCAAAAACGUAUGGGCUAAUCGCCCAUGAGGGUUCGAUUCCCUCCUUGCCCA
Molecule: transfer RNA, 85 nt
Filed under: Candidatus Gottesmanbacteria bacterium RBG_16_37_8
Lineage: Bacteria; Candidatus Gottesmaniibacteriota
Description: tRNA-Leu
Rfam family: tRNA
About the family: Transfer RNA (tRNA) molecules are approximately 80 nucleotides in length. Their secondary structure includes four short double-helical elements and three loops (D, anti-codon, and T loops). Further hydrogen bonds mediate the characteristic L-shaped molecular structure. tRNAs have two regions of fundamental functional importance: the anti-codon, which is responsible for specific mRNA codon recognition, and the 3' end, to which the tRNAs corresponding amino acid is attached (by aminoacyl-tRNA synthetases). tRNAs cope with the degeneracy of the genetic code in two manners: having more than one tRNA (with a specific anti-codon) for a particular amino acid; and 'wobble' base-pairing, i.e. permitting non-standard base-pairing at the 3rd anti-codon position.
Source: RNAcentral